This 424-nucleotide ribosomal RNA is filed under the name uncultured bacterium. Its description in RNAcentral is "bacterial SSU rRNA". It matches the Rfam family "Bacterial small subunit ribosomal RNA", at positions 29 to 501 of the family's 1533-position model. The record is from RNAcentral.
AGCGAACGCUGGCGGCAGGCUUAACACAUGCAAGUCGAGCGGGCCCUUCGGGGUCAGCGGCGGACGGGUGAGUAACGCGUGGGAACGUGCCUUCUGGUCUGGAAUAACCCUGGGAAACUAGGGCUAAUACCGGAUACGCCCUUUUGGGGAAAGGUUUACUGCCGGAAGAUCGGCCCGCGUCUGAUUAGCUAGUUGGUGGGGUAACGGCCUACCAAGGCGACGAUCAGUAGCUGGUCUGAGAGGAUGANCAGCCACACUGGACUGAGACACGGCCCAGACUCCUACGGGAGGCAGCAGUGGGGAAUAUUGGACAAUGGGGAAACCCUGAUCCAGCGAUGCCGCGUGAGCGAAGAAGGCCUUAGGGUUGUAAAGCUCUUUCGCCGCGACGAUAAUGACGGUAGCGGGAGAAGAAGCCCCGGCUAAC